AUAUUGUUUUGAAAGAUGGACGAGGACAUUGCUUAAUCACAAAUUCUUAAGUUUUAUACUCACAAAUUAAGCAACAACAUCCACAUUGUGGAGGUGUUUAGCCCGUAGGCGUAUUUCUCAAUAUGAAUCGGGCAUACCUUAAACAACGGCGUUUUAGGUAUCUUUAAAAGAUUCACCUGGAUC
This is a regulatory RNA element of Drosophila melanogaster (fruit fly), 183 nucleotides long. It matches the Rfam family "R2 RNA element". From Rfam's summary of the family: This family represents the 3' UTR region of the R2 retrotransposable element. This family is known to interact with the R2-encoded reverse transcriptase in a reaction known as target primed reverse transcription (TPRT). NCBI's taxonomy places the organism in Eukaryota, Metazoa, Arthropoda, Insecta, Diptera, Drosophilidae. The record is from Rfam.